This 205-nucleotide long non-coding RNA is filed under the name Carica papaya (papaya). RNAcentral describes it as "long non-coding RNA (CPAP_LNC014587)". The record is from RNAcentral. Lineage: Eukaryota; Viridiplantae; Streptophyta; Magnoliopsida; Brassicales; Caricaceae.
CAUAUAUUCACUUAGAAUGAUCUGAACAUGGGUCAAAGGUAUUGAAUAGAGCUCCUCAAGAAUUACGAUUAUACUAUUUUGUAUCACUGGGGCAAGGAUAAUGUAGUAGUUGAUGCGCCCAGCAAAAAAAAGUGCAGGUAUGUUAGCUCACAUUAUGGUUUUUGAAUGCAGGGUAAUAAGGGCCACAUAAUAAAUACGACUUUAG